RNAcentral lists this transfer RNA (88 nucleotides) under Caulobacter phage phiCbK. RNAcentral's name for it is "tRNA-Lys". It matches the Rfam family "tRNA". From Rfam's summary of the family: Transfer RNA (tRNA) molecules are approximately 80 nucleotides in length. Their secondary structure includes four short double-helical elements and three loops (D, anti-codon, and T loops). The record is from RNAcentral. Lineage: Duplodnaviria; Heunggongvirae; Uroviricota; Caudoviricetes; Jeanschmidtviridae.
UGGAUGUGUCACCUCAGUGGCGAGAGGACCGGGCUCUUAAUCCGGCAGCGAAAGCUCAUCGUGGGUUCGAGUCCCACCACAUCCUCCA